This 463-nucleotide ribosomal RNA is filed under the name uncultured bacterium. RNAcentral's name for it is "bacterial SSU rRNA". It matches the Rfam family "Bacterial small subunit ribosomal RNA", at positions 330 to 791 of the family's 1533-position model. The record is from RNAcentral.
UCCAGACUCCUACGGGAGGCAGCAGUGAGGAAUAUUGGUCAAUGGUCGGGAGACUGAACCAGCCAAGCCGCGUGAGGGAUGAAGGUACAGAGUAUCGUAAACCUCUUUUGUCGGGGAACAAAGGCGCCCACGGGUGGGCGGAUGAGUGUACCCGAAGAAAAAGCAUCGGCUAACUCCGUGCCAGCAGCCGCGGUAAUACGGAGGAUGCGAGCGUUAUCCGGAUUUAUUGGGUUUAAAGGGUGCGUAGGCGGACAGUCAAGUCAGCGGUAAAAAUGCGGUGCUCAACGCCGUACAGCCGUUGAAACUGGCAGUCUUGAGUGGGCGAGAAGUAUGCGGAAUGCGUGGUGUAGCGGUGAAAUGCAUAGAUAUCACGCAGAACUCCGAUUGCGAAGGCAGCAUACCGGCGCCCAACUGACGCUGAAGCACGAAAGCGUGGGGAUCAAACAGGAUUAGAUCCCCUGUA